This 253-nucleotide ribosomal RNA is filed under the name uncultured Eubacteriales bacterium. Its description in RNAcentral is "uncultured Clostridiales bacterium partial 16S ribosomal RNA". It matches the Rfam family "Bacterial small subunit ribosomal RNA", at positions 524 to 776 of the family's 1533-position model. The record is from RNAcentral. Lineage: Bacteria; Bacillati; Bacillota; Clostridia; Eubacteriales.
UACGGAGGGGGCAAGCGUUAUCCGGAUUUACUGGGUGUAAAGGGAGCGUAGACGGCAGCGCAAGUCUGGAGUGAAAUCCCAUGGCUUAACCAUGGAACUGCUUUGGAAACUGUGCAGCUGGAGUGCAGGAGAGGUAAGCGGAAUUCCUAGUGUAGCGGUGAAAUGCAUAGAUAUUAGGAGGAACAUCGGUGGCGUAAGCGCUUUACUGGGCCGUAAUUGACGCUGAGGAACGAAAGCCAGGGUAGCAAAUGGG